CCGACCUUGAAAUACCACCCUUUAAUGUUUGAUGUUCUAACGUGGACCCGUAAUCCGGGUUGCGGACAGUGUCUGGUGGGUAGUUUGACUGGGGCGGUCUCCUCCUAAAGAGUAACGGAGGAGCACGAAGGUUGGCUAAUCCUGGUCGGACAUCAGGAGGUUAGUGCAAUGGCAUAAGCCAGCUUGACUGCGAGCGUGACGGCGCGAGCAGGUGCGAAAGCAGGUCAUAGUGAUCCGGUGGUUCUGAAUGGAAGGGCCAUCGCUCAACGGAUAAAAGGUACUCCGGGGAUAACAGGCUGAUACCGCCCAAGAGUUCAUAUCGACGGCGGUGUUUGGCACCUCGAUGUCGGCUCAUCACAUCCUGGGGCUGAAGUAGGUCCCAAGGGUAUGGCUGUUCGCCAUUUAAAGUGGUACGCGAGCUGGGUUUAGAACGUCGUGAGACAGUUCGGUCCCUAUCUGCCGUGGGCGCUGGAGAACUGAGGGGGGCUGCUCCUAGUACGAGAGGACCGGAGUGGACGCAUCACUGGUGUUCGGGUUGUCAUGCCAAUGGCACUGCCCGGUAGCUAAAUGCGGAAGAGAUAAGUGCUGAAAGCAUCUAAGCACGAAACUUGCCCCGAGAUGAGUUCUCCCUGAGACUUAGAGUCUCCUGAAG
Molecule: ribosomal RNA, 652 nt
Filed under: Salmonella enterica subsp. enterica serovar Newport
Lineage: Bacteria; Pseudomonadati; Pseudomonadota; Gammaproteobacteria; Enterobacterales; Enterobacteriaceae
Description: partial 23S ribosomal RNA
Rfam family: Bacterial large subunit ribosomal RNA
Source: RNAcentral